GCGGAUCCCCGAGCUGCGCGGCCCGACUCGAGUCCGCCAUAUUGGAUGCCGCAGCCGCUGCUGCCAGCGCUUCCUCCUCUGUCUUCGCCGAGCGGGGCUGGUUCCUGCGGCCCGAGCGGCGGGGAGCGCCCCCUCCUCGCGGCCACGCAGCAGCCCGCGUCUCGCUCUCCCCACCCAGUGCAGUGGCCGCCGCCUCUUCCGCCGCCGGGCUCGGGGCCUCCGCAGCGACAACAUGGAGGCCGUGAAGACCUUCAAUAGCGAGUUGUAUUCCCUGAAUGACUAUAAACCACCCAUUUCGAAAGCGAAAAUGACCCAAAUUACUAAGGCAGCCAUCAAAGCUAUUAAGUUCUAUAAACAUGUGGUACAGAGUGUUGAGAAGUUUAUUCAGAAAUGUAAACCAGAAUACAAAGUACCUGGACUUUAUGUUAUUGACUCCAUUGUGCGACAAUCCCGACAUCAGUUUGGUCAAGAAAAGGAUGUGUUUGCACCCAGAUUUAGUAAUAACAUCAUUAGCACUUUCCAGAAUUUAUAUCGUUGCCCUGGGGAUGACAAGAGUAAAAUAGUGAGAGUACUAAACUUAUGGCAGAAGAAUAAUGUAUUUAAGAGUGAGAUUAUUCAGCCUCUUUUGGAUAUGGCAGCUGGGAUUCCGCCUCCAGUUGUCACACCUGUUUUGGCCA
This 677-nucleotide small RNA is filed under the name Pongo abelii (Sumatran orangutan). RNAcentral's name for it is "processed transcript". The record is from RNAcentral. Lineage: Eukaryota; Metazoa; Chordata; Mammalia; Primates; Hominidae.